GGUGGCUCAGUGGUAGAGCGCUCGCCUAGCAAGUGUGAGGCCCUGGGUUCCAUCCUCAGCACCA
RNAcentral lists this transfer RNA (64 nucleotides) under Ictidomys tridecemlineatus (thirteen-lined ground squirrel). RNAcentral's name for it is "Spermophilus tridecemlineatus (thirteen-lined ground squirrel) tRNA". It matches the Rfam family "tRNA". From Rfam's summary of the family: Transfer RNA (tRNA) molecules are approximately 80 nucleotides in length. Lineage: Eukaryota; Metazoa; Chordata; Mammalia; Rodentia; Sciuridae. The record is from Rfam by way of RNAcentral.